This 433-nucleotide ribosomal RNA is filed under the name uncultured bacterium. RNAcentral describes it as "partial 16S ribosomal RNA". It matches the Rfam family "Bacterial small subunit ribosomal RNA", at positions 29 to 507 of the family's 1533-position model. The record is from RNAcentral.
AACGAACGCUGGCGGCAUGCCUAACACAUGCAAGUCGAACGAGACCUUCGGGUCUAGUGGCGCACGGGUGCGUAACGCGUGGGAACCUGCCCUUAGGUUCGGAAUAACUCCCCGAAAGGGGUGCUAAUACCGGAUAAUGUCUUCGGACCAAAGAUUUAUCGCCUUUGGAUGGGCCCGCGUUGGAUUAGCUAGUUGGUAGGGUAAAAGCCUACCAAGGCGACGAUCCAUAGCUGGUCUGAGAGGAUGAUCAGCCACACUGGGACUGAGACACGGCCCAGACUCCUACGGGAGGCAGCAGUGGGGAAUAUUGGACAAUGGGGGAAAGCCUGAUCCAGCAAUGCCGCGUGAGUGAUGAAGGCCUUAGGGUUGUAAAGCUCUUUUACCCGGGAUGAUAAUGACAGUACCGGGAGAAUAAGCACCGGCUAACUCCGUG